GUUUUUUUGCUCUGGAGAGGUUAAUGGGGAAGCUCAAGCCAGCUGAUGCUGGGGGGAUGGAUGCUACCUUUCAGUUUGCAUAUUGAGAUUGUUUACACACAUGAUUAGCUAAUAUAUUAAGCUUCUUAAAGGAAAAAGAAAGGUAAAGCUCAGGGUUUAGUUUUGAUUUGCAUUCCUCACCCACUCUCUCCUUCACAAUACACCACCUGGAGAACAGCAAGGACUUGGCCAUCCCUGCCAACAGCUGGCUUUUGGAGAAGGGAAACAAAUGGUUAAAAUUCCACCAAAGGCUGCAGUGUCCAGGUGAUUCAGCACAUCCAGCCUCACACCACAGCACCUCAGGUAAGUGCUGGUCCCCAUCCCGUAAACUGGGGCAGCUCAGCCUGCUCAGAGGUGAGUGUUGGGUGUGUGCUCAGCAGCCUGGGGUGGUCAGACCCUGAUCCCCAUGGGAAGGACAAGAUCCCUGUGGGAAGCCUGCUCUGCCAGUGGCAGUGGGGUGCCAGGACAGGGGAGUGAGGGCUGCAGAGCCCACAGGCCAUGGGAGCUGCUCAGCACUGCAGCUUUUCCUCUGCACGGCUGCUCCUGGGGGCUGGGUGUGGUUUCAAGUCUCUUUUCUGUCUCAAGGCUGGAGAAAAACACCCUGGAGAUAAUCAGGGCUUUGUUUCAUCACCAGUGGGGCAGAGAAACUCAGCUGCAGACCCAGCUGGCACUUCCCUGGGCUUGCAGGACAGAGACCAUCAUUCCCUGAUCCAGAGGCCUUCUGGGCAUCUCCAGGACACCCCUGCCAGGUGUAAUCCCUCCUUCCACAGCAGCCACCACAGCAGAGCUCAGCUGCUCUUCUCUCCCCUCACGUUCCUCCCCAGCUCUCACCACCCAGGGUGUGUUAUUUAUACAACAUCUCUAAGCGUUGGCUUCUUCAACACAAUUUUUCCUUUAAUUACUUGCAUUAAAAAUAAAAAUGCCAAGCUAUGUGAACAACUGCUCUCAUUACAGUAUCAGUCCUCCAGCUAAUUAAUAUCUGUUAGCUUUGGCUUAUGCACCAGGAUGCCUAAAUCCAAAAUACACAAGGCUGCCAAGUUACUUUGCAAACAGGAGCACUUGCCUUGAAGAAAGAUUCACGUUUUCCAACUUCUCCUGUGCAACCUCCCCAUAACCUUUACUUUCAAGGUCUUAGAGAAGGAAAGCUCAUCCAGCACACAAAGAGAUUGCAGUGAAACCAAAGGGAAGACCCAGAGGAAAGCAAAGAGAUGAGAAACAGAUCUCCAGAAGAAAGAGAAAAACCAUCUUUGUACCUGAGAGGAAUGAUUUGUCUUUACAAACAAGCUGUGGGUCUGCUGGUAGAUUAAACCAGCACUGAGAGGUAAAAGAAACAAUGGGAAGGAUUCCACUGAUUGAUGAAUGGAAAAUGAUAUUUGCCUUUACAAAUAAACUGCAGGUUUGCUGAUAAUUGAAAUUGGGU
Molecule: long non-coding RNA, 1459 nt
Filed under: Zonotrichia albicollis (white-throated sparrow)
Lineage: Eukaryota; Metazoa; Chordata; Aves; Passeriformes; Passerellidae
Description: lncRNA (ENSZALG00000011152.1)
Source: RNAcentral